UACGAAGGGGGCUAGCGUUGCUCGGAUUGACUGGGCGUAAAGGGCGCGUAGGCGGUUCGUACAGUCAGACGUGAAAUUCCUGGGCUCAACCUGGGGGCUGCGUUUGAUACGGGCGGACUUGAGUGCGGAAGAGGGUCGUGGAAUUCCCAGUGUAGAGGUGAAAUUCGUAGAUAUUGGGAAGAACACCGGUGGCGAAGGCGGCGACCUGGUCCGAUACUGACGCUGAGGCGCGAAAGCGUGGGGAGCAAACAGG
RNAcentral lists this ribosomal RNA (253 nucleotides) under uncultured bacterium. Its description in RNAcentral is "partial 16S ribosomal RNA". It matches the Rfam family "Bacterial small subunit ribosomal RNA", at positions 524 to 776 of the family's 1533-position model. The record is from RNAcentral.